GGAAGAAGCGGCGGUAAAAUUUCUGCAAGAAUAUAGAAUUUUGCUGGAAUGGUUCUAAAGCGAACAACGAGGAAACUGGUUUCUAGACAGCCACUGGUAUCGAGGUUUGCAGGAAGCCGAGUCUUCGCAGUUCUAACAACUUCUAAGGAAAGGUGCAUUAACCACCCAAUUGCAUCCAAUAAGUAACUUCUACAUUUUCAUCUGCAAAAAAUUGCCAAAUUGCGCCAAGGUGGUUGCAUUAAUAGGUAUUUAAAAAUAUCAUUUAAAAAAAUGCCUUACUGGUGGAUGAUAAUAAUUCGUAUACUGUGUCAUCCUAAAUACCUGGAGCAUAUUCAGAAAACGCAGAGCAGGUGUUAUGGAAGGAUGCGCCGGUAACUUUUCAAAUCAAAAGCGCCGCUCUAUAUCGUAUCUAUAUGUUAUAAUUCUAUAACGCAAAGUAAGUCUUAAAUACCGACGUUACAUACAUUCUUGUAAUGAAUGUUUAUACAACGUGUAAGAAGAGUGUUCUGAAUUAUG
Stegodyphus dumicola is the source of this 516-nucleotide long non-coding RNA. Lineage: Eukaryota; Metazoa; Arthropoda; Arachnida; Araneae; Eresidae. The record is from RefSeq and is a predicted model, not a curated record.